AGUGAACGCUGGCGGUAGGCCUAACACAUGCAAGUCGAACGGCAGCACAGUAAGAGCUUGCUCUUACGGGUGGCGAGUGGCGGACGGGUGAGGAAUACAUCGGAAUCUACUUUUUCGUGGGGGAUAACGUAGGGAAACUUACGCUAAUACCGCAUACGACCUACGGGUGAAAGCAGGGGAUCUUCUGACCUUGCGCGAUUGAAUGAGCCGAUGUCGGAUUAGCUAGUUGGCGGGGUAAAGGCCCACCAAGGCGACGAUCCGUAGCUGGUCUGGGAGGAUGAUCAGCCACACUGGAACUGAGACACGGUCCAGACUCCUACGGGAGGCAGCAGUGGGGAAUAUUGGACAAUGGGCGCAAGCCUGAUCCAGCCAUACCGCGUGGGUGAAGAAGGCCUUCGGGUUGUAAAGCCCUUUUGUUGGGAAAGAAAAGCAGCAGGUUAAUACCCCGCUGUUCUGACGGUACCCAAAGAAUAAGCACCGGCUAACUUCGUG
Molecule: ribosomal RNA, 492 nt
Filed under: uncultured bacterium
Lineage: Bacteria
Description: partial 16S ribosomal RNA
Rfam family: Bacterial small subunit ribosomal RNA
Source: RNAcentral